This 245-nucleotide ribosomal RNA is filed under the name uncultured bacterium. Its description in RNAcentral is "partial 16S ribosomal RNA". It matches the Rfam family "Bacterial small subunit ribosomal RNA", at positions 524 to 768 of the family's 1533-position model. The record is from RNAcentral.
UACGGAGGAUGCAGGCGUUAUCCGGAUUUAUUAGGUUUAAAGGGUGUGUAGGCGGAUUAUUAAGUCAGUGGUGAAAUCUCUCAGCUUAACUGAGAAACUGCCAUAGAUACUGAUAGUCUUGAAUACAGUUGAGGUAGGCGGAAUGUGUAGUGUAGCGGUGAAAUGCUUAGAUAUUACACAGAACACCGAUUGCGUAGGCAGCUUACUAAACUGUGAUUGACGCUGAGGCACGAAAGCGUGGGGAU